UAACACGUGUGCAACCAACCCCGUACCGGGAGAUAACCCGCGGAAACGUGGACUAACAUCCCAUAAGACUCUAGAGCCGCAUGGCUCUGGAUUUAAAAUUCCGGUGGUACGGGACGGGCACGCGCGACAUUAGGUAGUUGGCGGGGUAACGGCCCACCAAGCCGACGAUGUCUAGGGGUUCUGAGAGGAAGGUCCCCCACACUGGAACUGAGACACGGUCCAGACUCC
This 228-nucleotide ribosomal RNA is filed under the name uncultured bacterium. RNAcentral describes it as "partial 16S ribosomal RNA". It matches the Rfam family "Bacterial small subunit ribosomal RNA", at positions 111 to 339 of the family's 1533-position model. The record is from RNAcentral.